UACGUAGGAGGCGAGCGUUGUUCGGAUUUACUGGGCGUAAAGGGCGCGUAGGCGGUCUGUUGGGUCCGCUGUGAAAUCUCCUGGCUCAACUGGGAGGGGUCAGAGGAAACUGGCAGACUUGAGGGCAGCAGAGGAAGGUGGAAUUCCCGGUGUAGCGGUGAAAUGCGUAGAUAUCGGGAGGAACAUCAGUGGCGAAGGCGGCCUUCUGGGCUGGCCCUGACGCUGAGGCGCGAAAGCGUGGGGAGCAAACCGG
This 253-nucleotide unclassified non-coding RNA is filed under the name uncultured Dehalococcoidia bacterium. RNAcentral describes it as "contains 16S-23S intergenic spacer region". It matches the Rfam family "Bacterial small subunit ribosomal RNA", at positions 524 to 776 of the family's 1533-position model. Lineage: Bacteria; Bacillati; Chloroflexota; Dehalococcoidia. The record is from RNAcentral.